RNAcentral lists this ribosomal RNA (1881 nucleotides) under Pseudomonas aeruginosa. RNAcentral describes it as "partial 23S ribosomal RNA". It matches the Rfam family "Bacterial large subunit ribosomal RNA", at positions 339 to 2215 of the family's 2925-position model. The record is from RNAcentral. Lineage: Bacteria; Pseudomonadati; Pseudomonadota; Gammaproteobacteria; Pseudomonadales; Pseudomonadaceae.
GCUCUGGAAAGUGCGGCCAUAGUGGGUGAUAGCCCCGUACGCGAAAGGAUCUUUGAAGUGAAAUCGAGUAGGACGGAGCACGAGAAACUUUGUCUGAACAUGGGGGGACCAUCCUCCAAGGCUAAAUACUACUGACUGACCGAUAGUGAACCAGUACCGUGAGGGAAAGGCGAAAAGAACCCCGGAGAGGGGAGUGAAAUAGAACCUGAAACCGUAUGCGUACAAGCAGUGGGAGCCUACUUGUUAGGUGACUGCGUACCUUUUGUAUAAUGGGUCAGCGACUUAUAUUCAGUGGCAAGCUUAACCGUAUAGGGUAGGCGUAGCGAAAGCGAGUCUUAAUAGGGCGUUUAGUCGCUGGGUAUAGACCCGAAACCGGGCGAUCUAUCCAUGAGCAGGUUGAAGGUUAGGUAACACUGACUGGAGGACCGAACCCACUCCCGUUGAAAAGGUAGGGGAUGACUUGUGGAUCGGAGUGAAAGGCUAAUCAAGCUCGGAGAUAGCUGGUUCUCCUCGAAAGCUAUUUAGGUAGCGCCUCAUGUAUCACUCUGGGGGGUAGAGCACUGUUUCGGCUAGGGGGUCAUCCCGACUUACCAAACCGAUGCAAACUCCGAAUACCCAGAAGUGCCGAGCAUGGGAGACACACGGCGGGUGCUAACGUCCGUCGUGAAAAGGGAAACAACCCAGACCGCCAGCUAAGGUCCCAAAGUUGUGGUUAAGUGGUAAACGAUGUGGGAAGGCUUAGACAGCUAGGAGGUUGGCUUAGAAGCAGCCACCCUUUAAAGAAAGCGUAAUAGCUCACUAGUCGAGUCGGCCUGCGCGGAAGAUGUAACGGGGCUCAAACCACACACCGAAGCUGCGGGUGUCACGUAAGUGACGCGGUAGAGGAGCGUUCUGUAAGCCUGUGAAGGUGAGUUGAGAAGCUUGCUGGAGGUAUCAGAAGUGCGAAUGCUGACAUGAGUAACGACAAUGGGUGUGAAAAACACCCACGCCGAAAGACCAAGGGUUCCUGCGCAACGUUAAUCGACGCAGGGUUAGUCGGUUCCUAAGGCGAGGCUGAAAAGCGUAGUCGAUGGGAAACAGGUUAAUAUUCCUGUACUUCUGGUUACUGCGAUGGAGGGACGGAGAAGGCUAGGCCAGCUUGGCGUUGGUUGUCCAAGUUUAAGGUGGUAGGCUGAAAUCUUAGGUAAAUCCGGGGUUUCAAGGCCGAGAGCUGAUGACGAGUCGUCUUUUAGAUGACGAAGUGGUUGAUGCCAUGCUUCCAAGAAAAGCUUCUAAGCUUCAGGUAACCAGGAACCGUACCCCAAACCGACACAGGUGGUCGGGUAGAGAAUACCAAGGCGCUUGAGAGAACUCGGGUGAAGGAACUAGGCAAAAUGGCACCGUAACUUCGGGAGAAGGUGCGCCGGCUAGGGUGAAGGAUUUACUCCGUAAGCUCUGGCUGGUCGAAGAUACCAGGCCGCUGCGACUGUUUAUUAAAAACACAGCACUCUGCAAACACGAAAGUGGACGUAUAGGGUGUGACGCCUGCCCGGUGCCGGAAGGUUAAUUGAUGGGGUUAGCGCAAGCGAAGCUCUUGAUCGAAGCCCCGGUAAACGGCGGCCGUAACUAUAACGGUCCUAAGGUAGCGAAAUUCCUUGUCGGGUAAGUUCCGACCUGCACGAAUGGCGUAACGAUGGCGGCGCUGUCUCCACCCGAGACUCAGUGAAAUUGAAAUCGCUGUGAAGAUGCAGUGUAUCCGCGGCUAGACGGAAAGACCCCGUGAACCUUUACUGUAGCUUUGCACUGGACUUUGAGCCUGCUUGUGUAGGAUAGGUGGGAGGCUUUGAAGCGUGGACGCCAGUUCGCGUGGAGCCAUCCUUGAAAUACCACCCUGGCAUGCUU